AUUGAACGCUGGCGGCAGGCUUAACACAUGCAAGUCGAACGAGUGGCGGACGGGUGAGUAAUGCUUGGGAAUCUAGCUUAUGGAGGGGGAUAACUACGGGAAACGGUAGCUAAUACCGCGUUCCCUAGCAUGUACCCAAGUGGGAUUAGGUAGUUGGUGAGGUAACGGCUCACCAAGCAGACGUGCGCUAGCUGGUCUGAGAGGAUGACCAGCCACACUGGGACAGAGACACGGCCGUGACUCCGACGGGAGGCAGUAGUGGGGAAUAUUGCGGAAUGGGGGGAACCUGACGCAGCCAUGCCGGGUGAAUGAAGAAGGCUUUCGGGUUGUAAAGGUCUUUCGGUAGAGAGGCGUUAACUACAGAAGAAGCACCGGCUAACUCCGUGCCAGCAGCCGCGGUAAUUC
RNAcentral lists this ribosomal RNA (405 nucleotides) under uncultured bacterium. Its description in RNAcentral is "partial 16S ribosomal RNA". It matches the Rfam family "Bacterial small subunit ribosomal RNA", at positions 30 to 526 of the family's 1533-position model. The record is from RNAcentral.